This 72-nucleotide transfer RNA is filed under the name Synechococcus phage S-CRM01. It matches the Rfam family "tRNA". From Rfam's summary of the family: Transfer RNA (tRNA) molecules are approximately 80 nucleotides in length. Their secondary structure includes four short double-helical elements and three loops (D, anti-codon, and T loops). Further hydrogen bonds mediate the characteristic L-shaped molecular structure. tRNAs have two regions of fundamental functional importance: the anti-codon, which is responsible for specific mRNA codon recognition, and the 3' end, to which the tRNAs corresponding amino acid is attached (by aminoacyl-tRNA synthetases). tRNAs cope with the degeneracy of the genetic code in two manners: having more than one tRNA (with a specific anti-codon) for a particular amino acid; and 'wobble' base-pairing, i.e. permitting non-standard base-pairing at the 3rd anti-codon position. The record is from Rfam by way of RNAcentral. Lineage: Duplodnaviria; Heunggongvirae; Uroviricota; Caudoviricetes; Pantevenvirales; Kyanoviridae.
AGGUCCAUAACUCAGCGGCAGAGUGCUACCUCGACACGGUAGAAGUCGUCAGUUCAAUCCUGACUGGACCUA